AGAGUUUGAUCCUGGCUCAGGAUGAACGCUAGCGGCAGGCCUAACACAUGCAAGUCGAGGGGUAACAGGAGAGCUUGCUCUCGCUGACGACCGGCGCACGGGUGAGUAACGCGUAUGCAACCUACCUUUAACAGGGGGAUAGCCCGAAGAAAUUCGGAUUAAUACCCCAUACAACUAUAGAUAAGCAUUUAUUUAUAUUUAAAACUCCGGUGGUUAAAGAUGGGCAUGCGUGACAUUAGAUAGUUGGUGAGGUAACGGCUCACCAAGUCUACGAUGUCUAGGGGGUCUGAGAGGAUGGUCCCCCACACUGGUACUGAGACACGGACCAGACUCCUACGGGAGGCAGCAGUGAGGAAUAUUGCGCAAUGGAGGAAACUCUGACGCAGCCAUGCCGCGUGCAGGAUGACAGCCCUACGGGUUGUAAACUGCUUUUAUACAGGAAGAAUUUUCCGCACGUGUGCGGGAUUGACGGUACUGUACGAAUAAGCAUCGGCUAACUCCGUGCCAGCAGCCGCGGUAAUACGGAGGAUGCAAGCGUUAUCCGGAUUUAUUGGGUUUAAAGGGUGCGUAGGCGGGGUAAUAAGUCAGUGGUGAAAUCCUGCAGCUUAACUGUAGAAUUGCCAUUGAUACUGUUAUUCUUGAGUUCGAUUGAGGUAGGCGGAAUGUGUAAUGUAGCGGUGAAAUGCUUAGAUAUUACACAGAACACCGAUUGCGUAGGCAGCUUACUAAGUCGACACUGACGCUGAGGCACGAAAGCGUGGGGAGCGAACAGGAUUAGAUACCCUGGUAGUCCACGCUGUAAACUAUGAUCACUAGCUGUUGGCGAUACAUCGAUCAGCGGCAAAGCGAAAGCAUUAAGUGAUCCACCUGGGGAGUACGGUCGCAAGAUUGAAACUCAAAUGAAUUGACGGGGGCCCGCACAAGCGGUGGAACAUGUGGUUUAAUUCGAUGAUACGCGAGGAACCUUACCUGGGCUUAAAUGCAGAUUGACGUUUCGGGAAACCGAAAUUCUCUUCGGAGCGAUUUGCAAGGUGCUGCAUGGUUGUCGUCAGCUCGUGCCGUGAGGUGUCGGGUUAAGUCCCAUAACGAGCGCAACCCCUAUCGUUAGUUGCCAGCGGAUCAUGCCGGGGACUCUAACGAAACUGCCGAUGAGAGGAAGGUGGGGAUGACGUCAAAUCAGCACGGCCCUUAUGUCCAGGGCUACACACGUGUUACAAUGGUCGGUACAGAGGGCAGCUACCUGGUGACAGGAUGCUAAUCUCGAAAGCCGGUCUUAGUUCGGAUCGAAGUCUGCAACUCGACUUCGUGAAGCUGGAAUCGCUAGUAAUCGCGUAUCAGCAACGACGCGGUGAAUACGUUCCCGGGCCUUGUACACACCGC
This 1380-nucleotide ribosomal RNA is filed under the name metagenome. Its description in RNAcentral is "bacterial SSU rRNA". It matches the Rfam family "Bacterial small subunit ribosomal RNA". The record is from RNAcentral.